UACGAAGGUCCCAAGCGUUAUCCGGAUUUAUUGGGUUUAAAGGGUGCGUAGGCGGCUUAUUAAGUCAGUGGUGAAAGCCCCAAGCUUAACUUGGGAACUGCCAUUGAUACUGAUGAGCUUGAGUAGAUUUGAGGCGGGCGGAAUGUGUCGUGUAGCGGUGAAAUGCUUAGAUAUGACACAGAACACCAAUUGCGUAGGCAGCUCGCUAAACUCUUACUGACGCUGAGGCACGAAAGCAUGGGGAUCAAACAGGG
RNAcentral lists this ribosomal RNA (254 nucleotides) under uncultured bacterium. RNAcentral's name for it is "partial 16S ribosomal RNA". It matches the Rfam family "Bacterial small subunit ribosomal RNA", at positions 524 to 777 of the family's 1533-position model. The record is from RNAcentral.